Molecule: ribosomal RNA, 389 nt
Filed under: uncultured bacterium
Lineage: Bacteria
Description: bacterial SSU rRNA
Rfam family: Bacterial small subunit ribosomal RNA
Source: RNAcentral
GACGAACGCUGGCGGCGUGCUUAACACAUGCAAGUCGAGCGGUAAGGCCCUUUCGGGGGUACACGAGCGGCGAACGGGUGAGUAACACGUGGGUGGACCUGCCCUCAGCUCUGGGAUAAGCCUGGGAAACCGGGUCUAAUACCGGAUAUGACUCCAUGACGCAUGUUGUGGGGUGGAAAGCCUUGUGCGGCUGAGGAUGGGCCCGCGGCCUAUCAGCUUGUUGGUGGGGUGAUGGCCUACCAAGGCGACGACGGGUAGCCGGCCUGAGAGGGCGACCGGCCACACUGGGACUGAGACACGGCCCAGACUCCUACGGGAGGCAGCAGUGGGGAAUCUUGCGCAAUGGGCGAAAGCCUGACGCAGCGACGCCGCGUGAGGGAUGACGGCCU